UUUGUGUUCAGCCUGUUGUAUGUAGGGGGAAGCUGAGGCUCAGCAAUGUCAAGUAACCGUUCCCAGGACUGGACGGUCUGACUACAAGCCUGGCUAACACGUUGACCAGUGGGAGCUCUGCAGGCACCUUGGAGAUACCAGGGAUCCCUCCUCUGCAUAUCAAGAAAUGCCGUAUACAUGAAGGAGCACGAAGUGUGGACUUCCACAUGGUUUCUGGCAACAGCACAGAUCAGGAACAUGGCUUCUAGCUGCGAUCAGCCCACAAACCCAGACAAAGAACUGGGAGGCAGUCUUGACCGUGAACACAUCACCAUGGCCUCGGGUGGUAGUGCAGGCCACGCUGAUCAGUAUGACCCCUGGACAUCAAUGGACAUGGCUUCUGGUGGCAGCACAGAGCACGGACAUCUGCAUGCCCUCCAGUGGAAGCAUG
RNAcentral lists this long non-coding RNA (430 nucleotides) under Mus musculus (house mouse). RNAcentral's name for it is "predicted gene, 31698". The record is from RNAcentral. Lineage: Eukaryota; Metazoa; Chordata; Mammalia; Rodentia; Muridae.